CAAGUGAAUUUUGUAUAUAAAUAUGCAGUGUAAUGAACAUUUUCACUGUUGCCCUACCUGACUACAGCUUUUCCUAGGGACGCCUUUAUCUGGCUUUUAAAAUGAGCAGGAGGAAAUGAAUAGAUUUGAUGGUAAUGAGCUAUAACUGCAAUCUGUGCAAGUCGGUACUCUGAAUUUGAUGUUGGCAGCUUAAGACUUUGUUCAGAAUAAAAUGAUUUCUUUUAACCACUGCUUUCUUCAGUGAGACGUCAGCACUAGCAACAUUAAUUCAUAGAUGAUGUCUCUGACAGCCUUUGACUGUGCCUCAAGUCUCAAACAGAAAUUACAUAAGCAAUACAAUUAUCUGACAAUUCAUUCUGUUGCCCAUUAGCCUAAAUGUAGAGGUACCAGAACUGUUUUCUUUCCAAUUACUAGUGAAUACAGCUAUUGUGCGUGUCCAGAAUAUGAUGAAACCAGCAACAGAGAACUGAAAUUCCACAGACUUCACUCUCUAAAGGCAAAUUUUACCUGUGGCUUUUUAGAUCAUGACAUUUAAGGAGUUGGGUCCAUAAUUGCAACAUGUCUAAUAUGUAACCAUUAAGUCUGUUGCAUAUACAGAAAAAUAGUGUACCUUUGAUGGUGUGUGGCUCCCAUGAAUUUUAACAAGUUCCAUUCCUGAUACAGUCCCUAUUUUGUCACUUUAGAACCCUUGUUCUGAACAAGUAGUUGUAAAAUCAUGUUUAGUUUAAUGUGUAAACUUCAUUUAACAUCUUCACAGUAACUUGAUUUUGUGCUUUUAUGCUUGUUGGUAUGGUCCAUAUGCAUCUGGAGCAGAGGCUUAUUGUUGCAUCAGUAAAAUUCCUUUGACACUUCUGUGAGUGUCACACAUGGUCUGCAAGUGGGCAAGCACCAUCUUACCUUGUUGCAUUGUUUCGGCACAGAAUGCAUGUAAAGCCUCUUGUCGUAGGAAUGUCUGAGCACUCUAACAGUGCAAAAUGCCAAGUCUGCUUCAGCACCUAAAACUUUCCCAAUAUUCAGGGUCCGAGCAGCCCCUCAAAAGCAUUGAUUGUAGUGCUCAAGUUGAGGAGGCUUGGCCUUACAAGUAUCUUGCCAUAUCGUUCCUUCCUUCCACCCCCGGCUGCAGCAGUUUAGGUGAGAGAGUGAUCUUCAGAAGCAGGAAUUGCUGUACUUGUUAUAUAAAAUACAGCAUGUGAAUCCCAACCACCACCACCACCAUGUGCUAAAGAGUCAGAUUGUUUACUGAGUAGAUAAAAACAUGGAUCAAAAAGCAUUGAAAACUAAAAGGCAUGCAUGCUUAUGCAUUCCAUGAGAUUUGGCCCAAAGUGUUAGUAUAAUUAGCAAGCUAUUCUCUCUCUAGAAGUUGUUGAAAGCUCCACAGAGAAUACUGUAGUCACUAUUGCAUAUAUUUUUGCAUGCCUAAAACUGGAGAAAUAAUUACCUAAUAAAAAUAAAUUAAUUGUUGAUGCCGGGAACUUUUACACAUUUAUGCAUUUUUUUUUUUAAGCCUAAGCAAUUCAGUAUUCAUCUGAAACAGUGAUGUGUACAGCUCUUGAUGUGGGAACACUCAGUAAGGUCAAAGUGACUCAGCUAGGUGGGUAAAAUGAGGAGUUGAGUGCCUUUGGACUGCAGCAAUAUCACUAAAGUCGCAUUGCCCCUGAAUGGCAGCAGGGUUUAUGUGCUUGUUGACUUCUGUCUUGGUUGAUUCAUCUUAACUUUUCCAAUGUUCUGUGUUAGACAUAGCUUUAUAGAAUGCAGCUGGCAAACCUGGCUGCCUCUUCAGCUAGCUC
Molecule: long non-coding RNA, 1787 nt
Organism: Gavialis gangeticus (Gharial)
Lineage: Eukaryota; Metazoa; Chordata; Crocodylia; Gavialidae
Exons: 2
Source: RefSeq, a predicted model, not a curated record